This 72-nucleotide transfer RNA is filed under the name Actinomycetota bacterium. RNAcentral's name for it is "tRNA-Val". It matches the Rfam family "tRNA". Rfam says of the family: Transfer RNA (tRNA) molecules are approximately 80 nucleotides in length. Their secondary structure includes four short double-helical elements and three loops (D, anti-codon, and T loops). Further hydrogen bonds mediate the characteristic L-shaped molecular structure. tRNAs have two regions of fundamental functional importance: the anti-codon, which is responsible for specific mRNA codon recognition, and the 3' end, to which the tRNAs corresponding amino acid is attached (by aminoacyl-tRNA synthetases). tRNAs cope with the degeneracy of the genetic code in two manners: having more than one tRNA (with a specific anti-codon) for a particular amino acid; and 'wobble' base-pairing, i.e. permitting non-standard base-pairing at the 3rd anti-codon position. Lineage: Bacteria; Bacillati; Actinomycetota. The record is from RNAcentral. RNAcentral also lists the same sequence under 1 other name.
GGGCGGUUAGCUCAGGGGGAGAGCGCUUCCCUGACACGGAAGAGGUCGGAGGUUCAAAUCCUCCACCGCCCA